AUGAACGAGGUAUGCCAAAGACAGCACCAACAACGAGCAAUUUCAGAGCCCCAAUUAGUGAAUUUACUGACAGCUCAUGGCAUUGUGUCAAGAGGAGUGACUGAAAAGCCCCAACAGAUAAUGAUGAAAAAUGUAAGUACAGUGAACAUUCUUAAUAAAAGCACACUAUAGAAAGCCACUGUCUGGCUUAGUAGU
RNAcentral lists this long non-coding RNA (195 nucleotides) under Coturnix japonica (Japanese quail). RNAcentral's name for it is "lncRNA (ENSCJPG00005020486.1)". The record is from RNAcentral. Lineage: Eukaryota; Metazoa; Chordata; Aves; Galliformes; Phasianidae.